GGGCUUCCCUGGUAUGGGGAGAGCUGCUGUAAUAAGGGGGGAGGGGCAGGGGCAUCCCUGGUGGAGGAAGCCCCCCUCCCCCGCUGUGGCAGCAGGUGGGGGAGGAGCAAUCCCCUUAAGCAGCCAGUCUGGAUGGGAAGUGUCCUCUCCCUUCCUUCUCUGACCCCGCAGACCCUGGACACUGAGUCAGCCCCCCCACUCCCCUCGUUUCCCUGGGUCCCUCCCUGUUCAUGGCCGGCCUCCCACUCCCCUCUGCUGCCUGUCGGUGGGCGGGUGGAGUCUUCCCAGGGCCGGAGCCGCAGCGGAGCCUGGCACAGGGAGGCGGCGCACUGGGAGACCGUGGCCGCGCCCGCCGGCUCUGAGGGCUGCUUUGGAGGGUCCCGAAUUGGGGGGGCCCUCCUUUCUCUCCUCCUGGGGGCCAUUUGGCUCCACUUUCCUGGUCCAGACUGUCUUCUGGCAAAAGAAAGCCCCCAUGGGGGGGCACUCUCUCUGGCCCGGGAGGGGUCUCUGCGCAGAAUGCCGGGGUGGGGAGCGGAUCCCGCCUCCAUGCUGCCCCCCCCCCCACGCUUCUUCCCGGCGGCCCCGAGGAGGAGGCGUGCGAGCUCUGAGCGCCUGGCCAGACCCCCCACGACGCCGCGGGGAGCGCUCGCUGUGGGGCCGUAUCAUUCAAUGUGACCCCCGGCGAGAGGGGCGCGGGCUCGCGGACGCGAGCUGGGGCUUUGCAUUCCCCUGAAUUGGCCCUUUGAGAGCUCAGCCGGCCGGAGCCGGCGACCCCCGGAGCGCAGCGCGGGCUGCGAGCACAAAGGGGGCGUCGCAGGCGCCGUGAAUAAUGGGCAGCCCCUUUCAGCAGCCACCACGGGGGCUUUUCUGCUCGGCUGAUGGGGGAGGACAAUGCCGAGGAGGCCCUUUGACGCCGCCACCAACAGUGUCCCCAUUCAGAGGCUUUGGGAACCGCGGGCCAUUGUGCCCGAGUGACGGGAGAGGGAGGCCGGCCCGGAGGGGACGGCCCGGGCCCUGCCGCGCAGACCGGCCCCGAGCUCCUUCUGGCUCCCCAGCGGCCGGGCGGCUCCGGCCCCCCAGCACAGCUCCCUCACAGCUCCCCCUACUAUUGCCACCUCGCCACAGCCCCUCAUCACAACUCCCCCUCCCCCCCCCUCGCCACAGCCCCUCAUCACACUCCCCCUACUUUACUCCCCAUCAUGGCCCCACCCCCACCUAUCCCCCUCCCUGCUCAGCACAGACAAGAGGAGGAAGGGAGCCGAUCUCCGGUGUGGUCAGCCCGGGCCCCUGAGCUUAGGCCACAGCUGGACGGGCAAGGGGGCGCCGGCCUGGCCCUCUGAGGGAGGGGGGCGUUCGGAGCCAUACGGGGAAGGUGGUCCCCAACAUACAGAGACUCACACGCGCAUGUGCGCACACGCCCUCUCCGGGUUAGGGUCCAGAGGACGGAUGAAUGCAGAAUGGGACGGGACCCUCGGCCAGAGGGGGUCCCCCAGGAGGAAGGGGCCCGCCCCGGCCCCGGGAACUUCCUGAAACCCCCACGCCGUUCAGAUCCGUGAAACGGGCCCCCCCAUGAUGGGGUCCCGCCGUCCCCCUCUGGAAACAAGGCGGGGGCGCGUCCGGCAGAACCCCCGGCGUGAAGCGCCCUUUGUGCCCGUCAUCGUUUUCUCACAAAUAUAGUCCUUUGUCAGCUCGCCGGAGUUAAUUUGAUCAACAUUGGAGCAUUUAACUUUUGUGCCCGCUCAAAGGGGCUGUUUCAUGCCCAUUUGGGGCAUUCAAAAGGGAUGAUUACCAGAAAAAUAAUGUGCCCGCGCACAAUUGGGAGCAAUUAGUUUCCCAGGGAGCGGCGAGUGAUGCACGGCCUCCACACAGCUCCCCUUUGUCGCCGCGGGGACGGUCAUCAGUCAGCUGUCAGCGCGGCUCAAAGGGCCCUCCGGCCCCGGCCUUCUCUCGGGGCUUUUCCCAGAACGGGCGGAUGAAUGGGCUAAAGAAAAGCGCCGCGGUCUCCAGGCAAAGGGGAGCUCGGCCCGAAGGAUGCGGGUCAUCCCGGGAGCCCCCAGAGUCACCGCAGCGUCCUGGGCGCCUCACGUGGAAUGUGGGUGUGAGAGACAGUGUGAGAGACAGAGAUGGAGAGAGAGAGAAAGAGGUGGAGAGAGAAAAAAGAGAGACAGAGAAACAGAGAGAGAGACAGAGAGACAGAGACAGAGAGAUGGAGAGAGAGGUAGAGAGAGAAAAAAGAGAGAGGUGGAGAGAGAAAACAGAGAGGUGGAGAGAGAAAAAAGAGGUGGAGAAAGAAAAAAGAGAGACAGACAGAGAAACAGAGAGAGAGAGAGACGCACACACAGAGAGACAGAGAGAUGGAGAGAGGGGUAGAGAGAGAAAAAAGAGAGGUGGAAAGAGAAACAGAGAGGUGGAGAGAGAAAAAAGAGAGAGGUGGAGAGAGAAAAAAGAGAGAGACAGACAGAGAAACAAAGAGAUAGACACAGAGAGACAGAGACAGACGGAGAGAGAUAGAGAGAGAAAAAAGAGAGAGAAACAGAGAUAGACACAGAGAGAGACAGAGACACAGAAACAGAGAGAUAUAGAAAAAAGAGAGAUGGAGAGAGAAAAAAGAGAGAGGUGGAGAGAGAAAAGAGAGAGGUGGAGAGAGAAAAGAGAGAGGUGGAGAGAGAAAAAAGAGAGGUGGAGAGAGAAAAAAGAGAGAGAUGGAGAGAGAAAAAGAGAUGGAGAGAGAAAAAAGAGAGAGAGAGGGAGAGGUGGAGAGAGAAAAAAGAGAGAGACAGACAGAGAAACAGAGAUAGACACAGAGAGACAGAUUCAGACGGAGAGAGGUAGAGAGAGAAAAAAGAGAGAGAUAGACACACAGAGAGAGAGACAGACACAGAGAGAGGUAGAGAGAAAAAAGAGAGCGGUGGAGAGAGAAAACAGAGAGAGGUGGAGAGAGAAAAAAAAGAGAGAGACAGACAGAGAAACAGAGAGAUAGACACAGAGAGACAGAGACAGACGGAGAGAGGAAGAGAGAGAGACAGACAGAGAAACAGAGAGAGAUAGAGAGACAGAGACAGAGAGAGGUAGAGAAAAAAGAGAGGUGGAGAGAGAAAAAAGAGGUGGAGAGAGAAAAAAGAGAGGUGGAGAGAGAAAAAAGAGAGAUGGAGAGAGAAAAAAGAGGUGGAGAGAGAAAAAAGAGAGAUGGAGAGAGAAAAAAGAGAGAGAAGGAGAGGUGGAGAGAGAAAAAAGAGAGAGACAGAGAAACAGAGAUAGACACAGAGACAGAUUCAGACGGAGAGAGGUAGAGAGAGAAAAAAGAGAGAGAGAAAACAGAGAGAGGUGGAGAGAGAAAAAAGAGAGAGGUGGAGAGAGAAAAAAGAGAGAGGUGGAGAGAGAAAAAAGAGAGAGAUAGAAAUAGAGAAACAGAUGCACAGAGAAUGACAGAGAGACACAGAGACAGAGACACAAAGAGAGACGGAGAGAAAAGAGAGACAAGAGAGACACAGAGAGAAGGAGACAGAGAGAGGUGGAGAGAGAAAAGAGAGACAGAGAAAGACAGAGAGAGAGAGAAAGAGACAGAGAUAGAGAAACAAAGAGAGAGAGAGAAGGACAAGAGAGAGAGACAGAGACAUAUACACACACAGAGAGAGAGACAGAGAGAGAUGGGGAGACAGAGAAAGAGAGAGGGAGAUUGAGAGACAGAAUCAGAGACAGAAACAGAGAAAUGGACAAAGAGAUAGGGAAAGAAAGGGAGGCAGAGACAGGGAUGGAGAGAUUCAAAGACAAAGAGACACAGAGAGAGACAUAAAAACAAACGGAGAAAAAGUCAGAGCGAUGAAGAGAUAGAGACAGGGAGAGAGAGACAGAAACAGAUGGGGAGAGACAGGGAGAGUUAGAGAUAGGAGAGAGACACAGAGAGAGAUGGAGACUGGGGGGGGGGGGGUCCGGAGCCUGGGCCAGCGCACUGCUGGCAGGAGUCGGCGAACAACGUGGUGCCCAGUGGACACUCUCCGUGUCGGUCGCGGUGGCUUCUCUCCCCGCCGUACGUGUCAGGGUCCCGGAGCGCCGCCUCUCUGGCUCCCCCCCCCCCCAGCCGCUAUGACGCCCCCUGGAUCUUUUAUGGGGUUAUGAUCAGUACGGGGAGAUGAGAGAUGACAUCAUCCUCCCCCCCACCCCCUUUCCCCCUUAGUGUCUCCUGGUGUCCUUGGGAUGGACGGGAAGGAAUGGAGAACGGGGAGUUUAAGGAAAGAGAAGGCAGAGAGUGCGGGAGACCCCCCCCCCCCCCCCCAGCCAGUGUCAGGGAAGCGCGCUGGGCCGAGAGGCCGGUCCUGGCCGGGCAGCCUCGGGGACCAGACUGGAGGCCGAGGGACGGCCCCUCAGGGCCCACCGUUCCCGGGCCUGCUGCUGCUUGGCCCAGCUCGGCCCGGGGCUCUCCUGGUCUCCCGAGCGCCCCCUUAAUUUGCCCCCAGGGAGAAGGCUCCGGCAGCGUCUUUGGAGACCUCUCAGCGUCGGGCGCUUGGGCACGGCUUCGCCCACAGGGUCCCCGCCGCUUAUCCCACCCAACGUGGCCACGUGGGGAAACCUGCAGGGACCCGCUGGCCGAGGGCUGCUGGACCUGGGGGGCGGGGCCCAGACCCCGACUUCAGGAAGUACAGUCAGCCCCGGCCUGGGGCGCCCGGCCCGGGAGCCCGGGCUGUCUCACCGUGAAGGGUCCAGAAGGGAACAGUCACAGACAGGAGGACACCCGAGGCUGGGGCUCCGCGAGGGCCACCGGGCCCCGGGCCCCUGGGCGUCGGCUUUAGGACAAGGGGCCCUGGGAGCCACUAGGAGUCCCUGCUCUGCCUCAGCCUCAGGACAAGGGCCCCUGAGGGCUCCAGAAGGAGGUCCCUGGGCCUGGCCUGGCCCGCAGCCCUCGGGCCGCCCCUCCCUUCCCCAGGCGGGGGCCGCGCCCGCCCCUCCUCUGCCGCAGGCACUGACAGGUCCUUCCAUCACCGGCCGGGCUCCUAUUCCAUUAGGCGGCCGUCAGUGUCGCGGAGCCGUCAAGCCAGAGCGAGGCAGUUUCCAAGGCCUAAAAAAUUGAUUUUUAUGGCUCUUCUUGUGUAUUAGGUAUAUGAUAUUGAUGCGGGCCUUCUUUUAGCCUUAAUAGCUCCUGACAAGGGAAUUAAUUUUAAAAAACACCCCCCCCCCCCAGCACCACAGUGGAAUUAAAAAUGACCGCGGCGAGCGAGGCGGCUCUGGCAGGGCCGGGCCCGGCGACCGCCGCGGCGCUGACGACGGCCUCCAUCUUGCCGCCCGACCUUUGAGAUCGUUGGCUGUUAUUGAUGGUCGCCGGCUGUUCUGUCAGCGCGCGGCCGAACAUGAUGAAGUUUAGCCUUUUAACGACAGGAUUCGGGCGUCGGAGCCUCGCCCCGCGGGCGCUUACAUCGGGCCGUUCCGGGCCCACUUGUCACCGGGCGAGUUUUCCUGAGUGUUCUUCCUGGCGGGGGCCUGGCCACAGGGCACACCCUGCCGGGGGGAGGGGCAGCAGAGCUUCUCCCCCAGCGGGCAAGACCCGGCGGGCGGUGUCUCGCAGGAGCCCCCCACCCCUGGCCGCCCGUCAUCGGCUCUCGGCUCUGGGCCCCGGCCCUCUCCUCCCAGGCCGCUGGCUCCGCGCCUCCCUGUGCUGGGUAAAUGUGGACGCAGGGGGCUGCGAACCGUGGCAGAGCCCCCCCUCUGGGAGACCCCUGUCCCCGCAGUAACCUUCCCCUCGCUGCGGGGGGACACCACGGCCAGGCUUCCCAGGGCGCGGCCUUCAUUGUCUCGGCUCCCGUGACUGCAGAAAAUGCCGGGGGGCCAGAGUCCGGACCGCAGACCCAGGGAGCCCCUCGCCCGCGUGAGCGGGGCCGGAAUCUCCCGGGGAAGCUCCAAGCGGGGCAGGCGGGGGCCGGACACCGAGCGGGCCCAGCCAGGAGGAGCCCGGGCCGGCCCCACCCCCCUCGCCUUCCCCAUUCAGCAGCCUGACAGAGGGAGGGAGGGGGGUGGGCUUUGUUUUGUUUUGUUUUUAAAGGGAAAAACGGCCUUUUCAGGAGCCUCGAGUCGGGAUGAAUGGGCCCGGGAAGCAUGUUUAUAGACUGAGCUCGGAACUUUGUCUUUGUGUGGGAAUGUCGGUGACACUGUCACGGUCGGCCUGAAUGAGCGGGGAGGCCGGGGCCAACAGGGAGCCCCGCGGGGGGCCGGGCCGGCCGGACCUCCCACCGCCGGCCAUUCAGCGCCAGCUCCCGCGGCCGAUUGUCCCAUCCCCUCAACGCCUGCGCUCCCGAGGCAACGCUCACACCGAAGGCCCCGGGAAGUCAGCGUGUAAACACAAGGUUCCCUCCUGACCCGCUGCCGCCGCCUCGGCUCGGCACAAAACCCGCCGGCGGCCGCAUUAGGCACGGCUAUUAGCGGGAUAAUGCGGCCCAUCCGCUACAAAGCGCCCGCGGGACUGGGUCGGGCCCGCCCGCCGAGGCUCCCCCGCACGAGCGCCGCACGUGGGCCCGGCCGGGCCGUGUCCGAGGUGCCCCCGGCUCCUCCCAGGCCAUGGCCCAGCACAGAGGGCCCCCGGGUGCCCCUGCUUGCAGUCGGCCCUGACCCCUCUGGGAAGCGCCCGUCUCCGACCCCCCCUCCGGGUUGGGUCUCCGUGCCCGCCGGGCAGAGCUGGAGCAGCCCCGGAGGCCGGGCAGAGCGGAGCAAGGCCGCUGGCUGCCCUUCUCCCUAUUGCGGGAGAAACUGGUGUGCGAUUUCUCAUGGUUUUUGGGCUGUGGGGAUCCCAUUUGUGCAGAGCGCCCCUGAACCCAUGGGCCCCUGGGGGUGGGCGGGGGAGCUCGGGGUCCCGAGAGCGCCUCCCGUGGGGCAGCAGCAGGGGCUCUGAACAAGGCCUGACGGGCCCGGAACCACCCGGGCCUGAGGAGGGGUCCCCCUCUGCCUGGGCGGGGCUUCUCUCUGCCAGAAGGGCCCCAGACCCUCCCCCUCCCCCAACAGGUGCCCCGGACUCGUGGGGACACCGGCCUGGCCCGGGCUGGCCCAGCGGCUCCGAGCCCACCGAAGGGGGCCCAGCUUCCUCCCGGCCACCGGGCCACGGUCUCUCGCCUCGACCCAGCACGGGCCCGCCGCGCCGUGGGCCCCACGUGGGUAACGGAGCUCUCUUCUC
Molecule: long non-coding RNA, 7153 nt
Organism: Antechinus flavipes (yellow-footed antechinus)
Lineage: Eukaryota; Metazoa; Chordata; Mammalia; Dasyuromorphia; Dasyuridae
Exons: 4
Source: RefSeq, a predicted model, not a curated record